RNAcentral lists this unclassified non-coding RNA (359 nucleotides) under Myrmecodia pteroaspida. RNAcentral describes it as "partial external transcribed spacer". The record is from RNAcentral. Lineage: Eukaryota; Viridiplantae; Streptophyta; Magnoliopsida; Gentianales; Rubiaceae.
GNCACNAGANCCUNNUUUGNCCUCGGUCGCUUGUUGNUUUCCUGUGCUAUAUACCNNCAUUGAGGGAACUUGUUGGCCAAUUUAUCCCGAGUUCUCCUACAUNUGCCCGUUAACGCGGUGCGGCUUCGGGUGAACCUGAAAGCGAAAUUUGUGUUCCNACUUGCAUGCAAUUGCUAUGCACUCACGGCCCAUGAACGAAGCGUGACCUUGGGGAUGCAGAACACAUUGAGGGUAAGGGGUCUUCGACCUCUUUGUUUGCCCCAAAUCGGCAUUACACGCCCCAUUCGAUUGACUCCGGUGUCGCAAAGNCAUGCUACGUCUUGCGACUCCAUGUCACCGAGGAAUGCUACCUGGUUGAU